RNAcentral lists this ribosomal RNA (253 nucleotides) under uncultured bacterium. RNAcentral's name for it is "partial 16S ribosomal RNA". It matches the Rfam family "Bacterial small subunit ribosomal RNA", at positions 524 to 776 of the family's 1533-position model. The record is from RNAcentral.
UACGUAGGGGGCAAGCGUUGUCCGGAUUUAUUGGGCGUAAAGAGCGUGUAGGCGGCCUGACAGGUCUGCUGUGAAAACUCGAGGCUCAACCUCGAGAUGUCGGCGGAAACCGUCUGGCUAGAGUCCGGAAGAGGAGAGUGGAAUUCCUGGUGUAGCGGUGAAAUGCGCAGAUAUCAGGAAGAACACCUAUGGCGAAGGCAGCUCUCUGGGACGGUACUGACGCUGGGACGCGAAAGCGUGGGGAGCGAACAGG